This 591-nucleotide ribosomal RNA is filed under the name uncultured Burkholderia sp. RNAcentral's name for it is "bacterial SSU rRNA". It matches the Rfam family "Bacterial small subunit ribosomal RNA", at positions 418 to 1003 of the family's 1533-position model. Lineage: Bacteria; Pseudomonadati; Pseudomonadota; Betaproteobacteria; Burkholderiales; Burkholderiaceae. The record is from RNAcentral.
UCGGGUUGUAAAGCACUUUUGUCCGGAAAGAAAACCUCUGCCCGAAUACGGCGGGGGGCUGACGGUACCGGAAGAAUAAGCACCGGCUAACUACGUGCCAGCAGCGCGGUAAUCGUAGGGUGCGAGCGUUAAUCGGAAUUACUGGGCGUAAAGCGUGCGCAGGCGGUUCGUUAAGACAGAUGUGAAAUCCCCGGGCUUAACCUGGGAACUGCAUUUGUGACUGGCGGGCUAGAGUAUGGCAGAGGGGGGUAGAAUUCCACGUGUAGCAGUGAAAUGCGUAGAGAUGUGGAGGAAUACCGAUGGCGAAGGCAGCCCCCUGGGCCAAUACUGACGCUCAUGCACGAAAGCGUGGGGAGCAAACAGGAUUAGAUACCCUGGUAGUCCACGCCCUAAACGAUGUCAACUAGUUGUCGGGUCUUCAUUGACUUGGUAACGUAGCUAACGCGUGAAGUUGACCGCCUGGGGAGUACGGUCGCAAGAUUAAAACUCAAAGGAAUUGACGGGGACCCGCACAAGCGGUGGGAUGAUGUGGAUUAAUUCGAUGCAACGCGAAAAACCUUACCUACUCUUGACAUGGACGGAACCUGGCUG